RNA transcript from Zea mays, 3908 nucleotides. RefSeq lists it as uncharacterized. The transcript is spliced from 25 exons. Lineage: Eukaryota; Viridiplantae; Streptophyta; Magnoliopsida; Poales; Poaceae. The record is from RefSeq and is marked validated.
ACUCCCUUUCCCGUCGAGCUAUUUGCAAUUUUGCCGUGGGGGUAACCCAUGGAGAUCACGGAGGAGCAGCGGCGUCGCGCCGAGGCCAACCGCCUCGCCGCCCUCGAGAAGCGCAAGCGCUACGCAGAGGCCGCGGCUGCCACCGCCUUUCCCACCUCCGGUGCCUCCACAUUCCCUGCCUACGACACUGCCGCCGCCGCCGAGUGGAGGCUCGCCAAAUGCCCAAGAAUCGCCCCGCCCGCGCGCCAGUUACCGUUUGUACCGCUGCCCCCUCGUCCUUCCCCACCGCCGCUGCCGCCGACUCCGCCUCAGCCGCCGGUGGGGUUCCAGGUUGUGCUGGAGGUAUGCGGCCCCGACGAGUUCUGGGUGGCGGUGGUGCCGGUAGAAGGCAGGGCCUACCCUGGGGAGGCCGAGUGCCUCGGCGCCGUCCAGGACUGCCUCGCUGCGGCUUCGGUUGUACAAUACUCUGCAACACAGUCGCUAAGUCAAAGCACACAUCUUCGUCCUGUAUUUAAGCUUGUGGACUAUGGUGUGGUGUUGAAAUGCCUUAAGAAAUUACCUGGAGCUUCUGUGCAAGAAAUACCUUCUAGCACAAAGAGAAUUAUUCAGAAUAUACCUAGGUAUCACGUCCAAAAGUGGGCUUCUGAUGAAGAAGUACAUGAGCUUCUCAAGAAACUGCCACAGCAAAUAAAAGAUGCGCUUUUACCCUUCCAACUUGAAGGAGUGAUGUUUGGGCUUCGAAGGCGUGGACGUUGCCUAAUUGCAGAUGAGAUGGGGCUCGGCAAGACUCUCCAGGCGAUUGCAAUAGCAUGCUGUUUCAAGGACGAGGGCUCUAUAUUAAUAGUAUGUCCAGCUGUAUUGCGUUAUUCUUGGGCAGAGGAAUUGGAACGCUGGGAUCCUUCAUUUAUGCCAAAAGAUAUUCAUAUUGUAUUUGGUCGUCAAGACAGUCUUGAACAUCUAAAUGCUACUCCAAGGGCAGUGAUUAUAUCUUACCAGAUGCUAAGUCGCCUUAGAGAAAGUAUGGUGAAUAGAACAUGGGCACUGAUGAUUGUUGAUGAAUCACAUAACAUACGCUGCACGAAGAAACUAGAAGAAAAAUAUGAGACAAAAGCUGUGCUACAUCUAGCUUCAAAAACUGAACGCAUCAUAUUGCUCUCGGGGACACCCUCUUUCUCAAGACCUUUUGAUAUCUACCACCAGAUAAAUAUGCUAUGGCCCCACAUGCUUGGUACUGAUAAAUUUGAUUAUGCGAAAAAAUAUUGCUUGCUGCAUGUUGCACGAAGUUAUCAGGGGAAAAUGUUUAAGGACUUCUCUAAGGGCACACGGUUGACAGAGUUAAAUGUUUUGCUCAGUCAAACUGUCAUGAUUAGGCGACUGAAGGAGCAUUUGUUGAAUGAACUGCCCCCCAAGCGGCGACAAAUUAUUAGGUUGAAGCUAAAGGCACCAGAUAUCAGGGCAGCCACAUCUUCAUGCGGCAAAAGGGUGAACCCUAACAGUUGUAAUGGAACUCUUACAAUUGAAUUGCCCAGUAAAAGCAAUGAUGAUGAAAAUACAAAAGAGGAAGAAGAAGAUGAUUGCAAGAAAUCUCCAAGGAGUCUCACCCCACAAGAGAUUGGUAUCGCAAAGUUAUCUGGAUUUAGUGAAUGGUUCUCAAAUCAUUUCAUCAUGAAUGGAUUUGAUGCUAACCAUAACCUGGAUCCCCAGUCUAGCUGUCAGAAAACAAUAAUAUUUGCACAUCACUUAAAGGUUCUAGAUGGAAUACAGGUGUUUAUCUCUGAGAAUGAGAUCAGAUUUGUUCGCAUUGAUGGAAGCACACUUCAAAGGGAAAGGAAAGAAGCUGUUGAUUCUUUCCGUUUGGAUCCAGAGGUGAAGGUUGCAAUAAUUGGAAUUACUGCUGGUGGUGUUGGCUUAGACUUCUCAUCUGCUCAGAAUGUUAUUUUUGUGGAGCUCCCAAAAUCAGCUUCAGAAUUGCUUCAGGCUGAGGAUAGAGCUCAUAGACGUGGCCAAAGAAAUGCGGUCAACAUAUAUAUAUUCUGUGGAAAGAACACAUUGGAUGAAUCACACUGGCUCCAGUUAAACCAGAGUCUGUUCCGUGUCUCGUCUUUGAUGAAUGGAAAAAAGGAUGCUGUAAGGGAGAUUGAGGUUGAUCAAGUGUGCCAACUUGAAGAAAUCAAGGACACCGAGGAAACACAACGCAAACUGCAUCCUUUGGAGAAUCAUAAUGCAGAUUUGACCCACGUACCAAAAAAACUUCUGGAAAGUGAUGAUUUGUCCAUUGAUGGUUUUCUUGGCAUCGAAGAUUUGGAAUUUGACUUGGAUUUCACCAUUAGGACAAUUCCUCUUGAAUUUGAGGAUGAAAACCCCGGCACAUCCUUGAAAAAUAAUCCAACUCCAACAGUACUUGAAGACAGAUCUUGUAUUGAUGUUUCUCUUUCACCAGCUGCAGUCUUUUGCUCUGUACUAUCUAGUUGUAAAUCAAUAAAGUCUCGUAAGAGGCUUUCUGGAAAUUCUGGGUCCUUGAGUCAAGCUGCAUCUGUUCCAGAUUUUCCAAUUCAAGUGGAGUCUCUGCGUUUUGAGGUUAGCCGGCACACAGGACGAAUCCACUUGUACAGUUGUGUUCCUGGACAUGAUUCAAGACCCAAACCACUUUGUGAAAAUUUUCUGCCAGAAGAAUUGAAUUCACCUUUAUGUUCUCCCAGUGAUGUUAAAACAAGAACUCUUCUCUUGAAAAAGAUUCCUUCAUUUUGCAAUGUGUUCAAUGCAUUCAUCAAAGAGUGGUUGGCACUAAGACCAAUUGAUCAAAAUAAAUUGCUUGGAAAGCCAUUACAACUUCCGUUGAACCUUGAGUUGUGUUUUCUGAAAGAUAGCAUCAAUCAUAGCACAGAAGGGAUACUUAAAGGGGGAAGUAAGAGGCGUGCUGCAUCAUUGAAUGAUGUCAGUAAUCCUUUGCCAGAAAAUGCUGAAUGGAGACAGGUGGUGUUGCGUAAUGGCACCUGUAAAGAGAGACAGUACACUCAGGGCUGGACCAUUGAUGAUGAACCUCUCUGCAAACUUUGUCAAGGACUUUGCAAAAUAAUGCUGUUUUACUUGGUUCAGUGGAAGGCUUGCAAAGUCACCAGAAUAUUUUGAAGAUCUAUUCUGUAGUUUAGCUUGUUUCCAGGAAUACAGAUUAAGAACCAGUGGCAGGGCCCUCCGGCAGGCACUGUUUCAAAUAGAACGUGGCAAGUGCUCCCAAUGCAAGCUCGAUUGUUGCAAGCUUGUCAAACACAUUAAACUCUUACCUUUGGGAAAGCGAGAAGAAUACAUCAGAAAGGUUGCUCCAAACAUUGCAAGUAGAAAGAAACUCCUAGAUAAACUUGUCCGUGAACCAAUUGAUGGAAAUGCUUGGCAUGCAGAUCACAUAAUACCUGUUUAUAAAGGAGGAGGGGAAUGUAAACUCGAGAACAUGAGAACACUGUGUGUGGCUUGUCAUUAUGAGGUCACCAGAACUCAGCACAAGGAACUAAAAGAAAUAAGAAAGAAGGCUAAAGAGCACUUGAAAAACGCCUUGAAUAAACAAAAGGAUAAACCAAGUGAAGCAACAGAAGAACUAGAUGACGAAUCGUUGCUGAUAGCUGUCCCGGGUAGUGCCUACUCCUUAGGAUUUCCUGGCAACGGAUCUGAUGAAAAGGCUGCUGAAUAGGGCAUGUUUCAUUUACCUUGAUUAUUGUUCAAAAAGGGCGCUGGUAUUUUUUAGCUCGCGUCCUUUUUUUGUACAUGUUAAAUGCUACCAAGCGUUUGUAAGCUGUUCGGCUGCUCUUAUAAGCAGCACUGAUAAGCAACACUAUUGCAGCUGCAGAGCUAGAAUUAUCUCACAUUUUUGGGCUUGUUCGUUUUGAUGCUAAACCAUGUGGAUUGAGUUGGAUUGA